GUAGGGAAUAUUGGACAAUGGGCGCAAGCCUGAUCCAGCCAUGCCGCGUGAGUGAAGAAGGCCUUCGGGUUGUAAAGCUCUUUCGGCCGGGAAGAAAUCGGCGACUCUAACAUAGUCGCUGGAUGACGGUACCGGACUAAGAAGCACCGGCUAACUACGUGCCAGCAGCCGCGGUAAUACGUAGGGUGCGAGCGUUAAUCGGAAUUACUGGGCGUAAAGCGUGCGCAGGCGGUUUUGUAAGACAGAUGUGAAAUCCCCGGGCUUAACCUGGGAACUGCGUUUGUGACUGGAAGGCUAGAGUACGGCAGAGGGGGGUGGAAUUCCUGGUGUAGCAGUGAAAUGCGUAGGUAUCAGGAGGAACACCGAUGGCGAAGGCAGCCCCCUGGGCCUGUACUGACGCUCAUGCACGAAAGCGUGGGGAGCAAACAGGAUUAGAAACCCUUGUAGUCC
Molecule: ribosomal RNA, 450 nt
Filed under: uncultured bacterium
Lineage: Bacteria
Description: partial 16S ribosomal RNA
Rfam family: Bacterial small subunit ribosomal RNA
Source: RNAcentral